GAUGAACGCUGGCGGCGUGCCUAAUACAUGCAAGUCGAGCGAACAGACGAGGAGCUUGCUCCUCUGACGUUAGCGGCGGACGGGUGAGUAACACGUGGAUAACCUACCUAUAAGACUGGGAUAACUUCGGGAAACCGGAGCUAAUACCGGAUAAUAUAUUGAACCGCAUGGUUCAAUAGUGAAAGACGGUUUUGCUGUUACUUAUAGAUGGAUCCGCGCCGCAUUAGCUAGUUGGUAAGGUAACGGCUUACCAAGGCAACGAUGCGUAGCCGACCUGAGAGGGUGAUCGGCCACACUGGAACUGAGACACGGUCCAGACUCCUACGGGAGGCAGCAGUAGGGAAUCUUCCGCAAUGGGCGAAAGCCUGACGGAGCAACGCCGCGUGAGUGAUGAAGGUCUUCGGAUCGUAAAACUCUGUUAUUAGGGAAGAACAAAUGUGUAAGUAACUAUGCACGUCUUGACUGUACCUAAUCAGAAAGCCACGGCUAACUACGUG
RNAcentral lists this ribosomal RNA (497 nucleotides) under uncultured bacterium. RNAcentral's name for it is "partial 16S ribosomal RNA". It matches the Rfam family "Bacterial small subunit ribosomal RNA", at positions 28 to 507 of the family's 1533-position model. The record is from RNAcentral.